UACGUAGGGUGCGAGCGUUAAUCGGAAUUACUGGGCGUAAAGAGUGUGUAGGCGGUUUCUCAAGUCCGCUGUGAAAUCCCCGGGCUCAACCUGGGAAUGGCAGUGGAAACUAGGAGACUUGAAUCUGGCAGAGGGGGGUGGAAUUCCACGUGUAGCAGUGAAAUGCGUAGAGAUGUGGAGGAACACCGAUGGCGAAGGCAGCCCCCUGGGCUGAGAUUGACGCUCAGGCACGAAAGCGUGGGGAGCAAACAGG
Molecule: ribosomal RNA, 253 nt
Filed under: uncultured bacterium
Lineage: Bacteria
Description: partial 16S ribosomal RNA
Rfam family: Bacterial small subunit ribosomal RNA
Source: RNAcentral